Long non-coding RNA from Pecten maximus, 515 nucleotides. RefSeq lists it as uncharacterized. NCBI's taxonomy places the organism in Eukaryota, Metazoa, Mollusca, Bivalvia, Pectinida, Pectinidae. The transcript is spliced from 3 exons. The record is from RefSeq and is a predicted model, not a curated record.
CUGUGGUGACUGGAUUCGCAUUGGCGAUGAUGCUGGGAAAUACAAUACCGUGUCCUCUCCCGGCAAGAUCUUGGUGCGAAGUGGUGGUACUUCGGAGUGGAAGUCGAUUAUAUUUACAUUCGGACUCGAAGUAACCUGGAUAUUCGCAAUAAAUGAUGGCGGAUACCGCUGCGGUCAGUGCCGUGCCAAAGAUGACCUCCAAUCUGACGUUACCCUGUUUGAGCAAGGUAAGAUAUUGAUUGGUUUGGAAGGUAGGUUCCAACUCAAAGGUAUAGAGUGCAUAUCCUUUUGCAAUGUCGUCUCGCUCUAUGUUAGAACCAGCAUCGUUGAGCCAUUUCCCCGUCGAUUGUAACAUGUUCCUUAGAACGGGAAUCGUAGUCUGACCACCUGUCGCACUGUACUUGAGUUUUAAAGGGUUACCGCCGACUGGUAUUCCAUCAACGUACAACCCUAUAGAUGUGACGUCAAAGGGUUGGAAAAACCAAGGGUUCUGUUCGUAAUCGCCGGUGGUUGCA